RNAcentral lists this unclassified non-coding RNA (217 nucleotides) under Ascomycota sp. RNAcentral describes it as "partial contains small subunit ribosomal RNA, internal transcribed spacer 1, and 5.8S ribosomal RNA". The stretch from base 1 to 47 matches the Rfam family "Eukaryotic small subunit ribosomal RNA", at positions 1785 to 1831 of the family's 1831-position model. Lineage: Eukaryota; Fungi; Ascomycota. The record is from RNAcentral.
AAAGUCGUAACAAGGUUUCCGUAGGUGAACCUGCGGAAGGAUCAUUAUCGUGGGGCUUCGGCCCUCUCGAGAUAGAACCCUUGCCUUUUUGAGUACCUUUCGUUUCCUCGGCAGGCUCGCCUGCCAAUGGGGACCCCAAUAAACCCUUUGUAAUAGCAAUAUUUGUCUGAAAAACAACCAAUAAUCAAAACUUUCAACAAUGGAUCUCUUGGUUCUG